RNAcentral lists this transfer RNA (91 nucleotides) under Sulfurihydrogenibium sp. RNAcentral describes it as "tRNA-Ser". It matches the Rfam family "tRNA". From Rfam's summary of the family: Transfer RNA (tRNA) molecules are approximately 80 nucleotides in length. Their secondary structure includes four short double-helical elements and three loops (D, anti-codon, and T loops). The record is from RNAcentral. Lineage: Bacteria; Pseudomonadati; Aquificota; Aquificia; Aquificales; Hydrogenothermaceae.
GGAGAGGUGGCUGAGUGGUCGAAAGCAGCUUCCUGCUAAGAAGCUGUCGGAGUUUUACUUCCGACCGCGGGUUCGAAUCCCGCCCUCUCCG